Phyllopteryx taeniolatus (common seadragon) is the source of this 495-nucleotide long non-coding RNA. RefSeq lists it as uncharacterized. Lineage: Eukaryota; Metazoa; Chordata; Actinopteri; Syngnathiformes; Syngnathidae. The record is from RefSeq and is a predicted model, not a curated record. The transcript has 3 exons.
CGUUGACGGCGUUGGAGCCCGUCACGUUGCCGAUGGAAGCGUCGGCGUACUGGUCCUGGAUGGCCGCCACCUUGCUGGCGAACGUGUCUGGUGACGGAGGAGAGGCGGGAAGACAUUGCAGCAUUUAUUCCUGCUGACGAAUUCCGCCGUCUCACCUGGCACAGACGUGCCCAGCGCCACGAAGACCACGGCCGUCACCGAGUCCUUCAGCCCCACCGUGCAGCCGAAGUGCGACGCCAGGUCGCCGGUGACGGCCGUCAGCGCGCCGAUCAGCGAGAUGGAAACGAUGAAGCAGGCCCAACCGUUCCAGUACUCGGUGGGCGGGACGAAGGCGAACAGCACCUUCCAGAAGACGACACGGACCGUGCUUCUGUCCAAUCUCCAAGAGAAGCGGCUCGCCCAGCUCGAUGGUGAAGGUCUUGUUCUUCUCAUACUCCUCGUCGUCGAUAAUCCUCACCUCGAUGAUCUUCCUACACGUGUGAAAGCAGACGCUUG